This 7379-nucleotide long non-coding RNA is filed under the name Capsicum annuum. RNAcentral describes it as "long non-coding RNA (CANN_LNC019254)". The record is from RNAcentral. Lineage: Eukaryota; Viridiplantae; Streptophyta; Magnoliopsida; Solanales; Solanaceae.
CGCUUUGUUUUUAGCACCCAGUGGAAAAUCCAAAUAAGCUGUUGGAAGUACCUAACUGACAACCCAGAGUUCCGAUCAAUCUAAUAUAGUUUGCAGACUAAUUUAAAGGAUACAAUAUACUUUUUUAAACAAUUAAUAGCCAUCCAGAAACAGAUUCAAAUAUUACCAGAAUCAUUUUUAAAUUAUUCAGUUAUGCAACCUCAGCGUCACACUCACAGGCGUUAAUAAAGUCCAUUUGAGCAUUUUCCACCAGUUUAGGAAUUAUCACCGAGUCUUCUAGUCAGUGUUAGAGCGGCGAGGUGCUCAUCUUUUUGAAGUGUGGCGCCAAUUAAUACCAAAAAAUUAAAAUAUUUGAUUGCAUAUAUAAAUAAUCAAAAUCUCAAUAGCAAUAACAUAUUAGCAAAUAUUUCAAUACAAAACAAUACAACAACAACAACAGCAAACCCAGUAUAUUCCCACCUAGUGGGGUCUGGGGAGGGUAAAAUGUACGUAGUCCAUACCACUACCUCCCGGGAAGUAGAGAGGCUGUUUCCGAUAGACCCCCGGUUCAAGAAAAAAAGACAAAGGACAAAAACGUCAAAAGCGUGCAACAGGAAUAAAAUAACACAACAAUAAAGUACACAAACAGACAAUGGACCCCCUUUCCCCACCACUAGACAUUAUCCCUCUACCCUAAUGUUUUUCCUUCAUACUUUUCUAUCAAGGGUCAUGUCCUCAGGAAGCUGUAACUGCUCCAUGUCACAACUAAUUACGUCUCUCCAGUACUUCUUCGGUCUACCCUUCCCUCGCUUGAAACCAUCCAAGGCCAACCUCUCACUCCUACGAACAGGGGCAUCCGUGCCCCUUCAAUACGAAUGCCCCUUCAAUACAAAACAAUACGGUAUUAAUUAGUAUAUUUUAAACAAUGUAACUGAAGUAUUAAACUAGAAAAAAGUUUUAAAACUUUAAGUUCAGAAACAGUGACGGACUGCGUCACUGUGAGAAAAAAAACAGAAGAAGAAGGAAAAGAAAAACAGAGUAUUGUUGCCGGAAAAGAAAUCAGAAGAAGAAAGAUGAAGAAAAAAAUCAGAAGAAGAGAAAGUAGAAGAAGAAAUCAGAAGCAGAAGAAAAACAAUAUGUACAGUUAAUUAUGGCUCGAGUAGUCGGAGAAGUCGCAGCAGUCAAUGAAGUGUGCAAAUAUGGACAGAAAACCCUAAAAUUACCCUUUAUAUAUUAAAACACUAAUUUUAAAGGCGAUGCCUUUCUCUACAUGUCAUCGCCUCCUCGAGUUGCCAUCGACACGAUGCUUAAAGCCGACACAGGCUUGUGUUGCCUCAUCUCUCGCUAUUGGCGACGAGGCAAUCGCCUUUCACGACACUCCUUGUAGUCAAUAAUUUCGAGAUGAUCUUAUAAAAGCUGCCAAUUAAGCUUAUUGGCCUAAAGUCGUAGAUCCACCACAUCAUUCUUUUUGGGAAUUAAUGCUAUGUUGGUAGCGUUGUUACAUUUUAGAAACCUCUCAUGGCAAUGGUAAGGAAACCUCCAAAGCUGCCAUUGUCUGCUCUGAUCACUGUCCAGCAACUCUGAUAUUAUUCCAGGGCAAAUCCAUCCGAAUCCGGUGCUUUAUCACUUGCUCAUUGUUUGGUGAUAUCCAAAUUUCAUCUUCUUUUUUUUUUUUUGAGUCAGAUCUCUUCCUCUCUGCUGAUUCUGGAAUAAUUUCUCAACUGAAAUCCAUGUCUCCACUCUUCACUUUCUGAAGAAAGAUUCUGGUAAUUCUCAAGAAUGUUCAUCUUGAUUUCUUCUGGAUCCUCCUCCAUUUAACCAUUAACUACCAACUUCACCAAUAUGGUUAACCCUUCUAGGCGCAUUUGCGGUUUUAUGGAAAAAUUUAUAUUUUUAUCCCCUUGCUUUGGCGACAAAUUCCUUGAUUUUUGCCUCCAUGUCUCAAUCUCUUCUACUUCCAUUAGUAUGUUAGCUCUGAGCAUCAAAUCUUCAUCAUGGAGAAUGUGAUUUUCCUGCUCCGUCCCUGUUGAAUUUGCUGUGUAAGCAGCUCAUUAUUUCUGAAUCCAAACUUCCAUAGUUGUGUUUAUUCCAGUUUCGAAGUUUCUACGUCAUCGGCUGUAAUGUUUUAGAUAGGACAAAGUCUGGUGUUCCGACAUUCUGGAAAUACUCCCACCAUUCUGUCUUUUUCGAUAAACCGUCCACCUAACCACCAAUUUUUUAAUUUGAAAUAUUAUCUUGACCUUUCUCGGUAUGACGAGUUGUAAAGGUACAUGAGCUGAAAAUACUCUUGGUAAAGUCUCGGUAAAGUCUCCUGCUUAAUCAUCCUAAAUUCAUCAUCCCAUUAAUUCAAAAACAAGAAUCUCUAUUCCUAAUGUGUGUCCCUGAUUGUCUGCAAACCAUGUGUGUUGUCCCCCAAUGGCUGGGAAUCAAUUAGUUCUAGCUCAUCUAUACAGUUAGAAAAUUCACCCAUUGAGCUUGUACGUGUUACAUUGUUUUUUUCUCGUGGAGCCAUAUCUCGUAGUAUUGAGAUCUCCAUAAACCACCCAAAUACCUUCACAAAGCCUCUGAUUGCUGCCAUUUCCCACUAUAAAUCCCUUCAACGCCCCCCUCAAAGCCUUGUCCCACAUCACCGGUAACAAGCUUCCAAGCAUUCAUAAUCCACCCACUAUGCUUCUUCUUUUGUCCAAUAAUCACUUCUGUUUCAUUCGGCUUUUGUGUUUCCAUGUGCUGCUCCUAGAACUGGUUGUAGUAUGUAAUUUACAGUAUAUAGUGGCUAACUUGUUCAAUUCAAGUUGUUCAGAUUGAUUGGUCAAGAAGAUAGGCUGCCCAAAGAUGGCAGGAUGACUUCUAAGAAAAUCAUACUUUCUUGUAAUUAUAGUGGAUUUCUGAUCCCCGUCACUGGCAGAUGGAGAUUUGUUUUCAUCUAAAAGAGAUACCCUUCUCGGCUUUUUGGCUAAGAUCAAGUGACUUUUUUAAUCUAAAAUUCGAGGUGCGGGGUCUCUAUAGUGUCAAGUCCGGUAAAAGAUGCGAAAACCUUACGUGCUACCUUUGACUCAUCCUACAUACAUGCCCAGAGAUUGCAAUUUUGCUUAACGACGAUAGUUCUCUGUAAAUAUCACAGCAUCUUCUCGCCGCUGGUUUUUACUAGGCGUGUUUCGACAUGAUUUGGUUGAAGUUUGAAAGGAGUAUUUGAAGUUGAAACCCAAAGUAUUGGAAACUUGAAGUUGUUGUUUGGACAUGAAAUUCACUUGGAGAAGUUGACGUCUGGGAGUGGACCAUUAUUUCGCAGUACUCUUCAAACCUCUUUUUCAAACUUAAAAUUGAAGUUGAAGUAAUGGACUAGAUUGUGAGGCAAAUAUUUGUUUAAAAUUAUCUCCAAAUAUUAUUUUCAUUUCUUCUCUAAAUAAAAUUUGAAGAAAGAAAUUACUUUGAACUAGUGUGUAUCGUGCUGAACAUGUAUUUCCAACUUCCCUCCUUUUUUAUUUUUGUUAUACCAAAAAAGACUAUAGAUGUUCGCCAGUCUCUCUUUCGUUUAUCUCAUCUUCUCUUGCUUGGAUAAUUCUCAGUACGAACUAAUUUUAUUGAGCUUGGAGACCAUUUACAUGCCAAAACCCCCAUAACUGCUGAGUAUAUUACGCUCCCUUAACUGCUUUGUUGCAUCUGACCUUUGACCUUUUCAUGGAACACUGUUUUGUAUGAGUAAUUAAAAAUAACUGUUUAUUUCUGUUACUUUUAAAAAAUGUGCUUUCUGUUUAUGCUUCAAACUUGCAUAUUAUACACUCUGAAAUUGUACAUUGAAAGAUUGUGUGCAAUUAAUGUUAUGUAUCUUCUUGUCAGACUGCUGUUGUAACUACAAGACGCGUCCUGGAAAGAUUGGCUGUCCAGUAUGUUUCACGACGCAUGGCAUGGAAGCUUCUUAAAGGUUUCCUUUUCUGUCUGCAAGCGUAAAUCUGUAGUCCUUGCUGAUUGACAUUGAGGAAGCCUAGCAUUUUUCAAUUUCUGCAGAUGUUCCCAAGUCAGCUGCACGCAAGGCUCAAAGGGGAAUGUCUAGUGUGACCUAUUUUUGCAGUGUUACAAAAACAACAUGCAGAGGUUUAACAUUAUCUGUUCAACACACUUCUCUUAUUUUUCACCUAGGCUAGCUACAAUUCUUGAUUCUUCAUCUCCCACAUGAUCAGGUCAUUCUCUGGGAGUUUUGGCAUCAUGGUUUGUGCAAGUUGGCAUUGAUAUGUGGCGAUUUUUCAAAUCUAAACAAGAUGAUGACACGCCUGAUAGAUCACAAAAAGUUAAGCUUCUAGGAAGGAAGAUUUCCAUAGUUACUGUCAGAUGUGGUGCAUCUCUUGUUUUCGCUUCUAUAGGGGCAGGGAUAGGGGCAAUGAUGUUUCGCCCUACAACUGGCCAGUGGAUUGGUAAGCUCACAAUAUGCUUUUCAGUAUCUAUAACGAACAGCAACUUUGCUAGAAGUAAUCAAAUUAUAAUUUUUCAGGAUGCGCUAUCGGAGAUGUGGCUGGACCAGUCAUUCUAGCCUUUUGCUUUGACAAAGUUCUUCAUAUUGAACUGUGAUGACUUUCUUCUUGGUCAUACAUCUAGGACAUGAUUAAUACAAGGGUAAUGUGGUUGAUCUAGAGCCUUCUCCCUCCCCCUUACCCACAAAAGAAGUGGCAAUCCAGUGCUUUUUUUUGACUUAGUUGAUUCCAUUAGCUCUGGAAUAUUAUUCGUCAUAGAUACAUUAACCAAUUUAUAACAUUAUGUUCUUUUUUUUCUGGAUUUUAUUUAUGCUUUCUGGUUCAUAAUGUCCUUCCUAUGGAUGGUCGUAGUUGGUCUGGUGAAUCAUUUGAUUUGUCGAUCAAUAAAGGAAAGCGUUUGCUUGGACAAGUCGCCGUCAAAGGUGCUUGUCAAUUAGGAGUAUUAAGGAACAAGCAUAUUUUAAUUAGAUGUUCCUUAUGGGAGGAUUUUGUAAGUGUAAUGACUAAGAACUCCUAUUACAUCAAGGAUAGGGAUAGUAAUAUUCGUUUCAGAUGCGGCCUUUAAUAGAUGACUCUAUAUCUAGAGUUGAUAGAGAGAACAUUUAAUGCCCUAAUCUAGCCCCAACUUUCUUUGUUAAAGAAAUCCUCUUUACACUUGCCUUAGCUCCAACUUUCUUUGCUAAAGAAACCCUCUUUACACUUGCCUUAGCUGUGGGGCAAACCGUUGUAUUUGGACAUCGAAACCAUAAACAAAACUCGACCCAACUGUGCUAGAGUGAAAGUUUUGGUGGACCUCAAAGCCAACCUUCCUAAAUUUGUUAACAUGGAGAUCUGCAAUGAAACUACACGAGCUAGUAGGAAUACACAAGUUAAAAUUCAAAUAUGAUCAUAUGCCUAAGUACUGUUUUUAGUGUAAAAUACUAAGGCACAUGAUGGAGAACUGGUAGUGAGAUAGUAGGUUCUCCACAAUAGCAAAAAAAAAAAGGAUUUCUUUUCCUCCGAAGAUAUUGACCAGUGGAAAGAUUGCUGGUGAUAAGUGUGGAUGAAAUUAAAAAUAAGAAGGUGGUCACAAUGGAUAGUAAGAAAAGCAAUUCUCAAGAUUUGCAUCAGCAAACUGAUACAGCCACAGAAAUCAACACACAACAAUUUUGCAACACAAACAGAAGAGGUGGAGAAUAUCAAUGCAAAUGAAGUUCAACAAAGCCCCACAAAGUCAAAGUGAAAAAAUAUGUACUCCCAUCCAGAAAAAUACUAAAUUCCAGGAAGCAGUAAUCAAAACUCUGUUCAAGGCACAAAGUUGAAAAAUUUGUUCAAAAACACAGAAGGUGUGGCAGACAAGGUGGUAGAUGUCCCAAAAGGAGGUGUGGCAGACAAGGUGGUAGAUGUCCCAAAAGGAGGUGUAACAGAACUUGCUUUAGUCAAUCAGUCCACUCCUAAAACUACUGGAUCUAGGAAAUGGGGUGAUAGAAGAAGAUGAUGGUGUGAAAAAAAGAGAACUGCAGGUGUCGGGUUAAAAGUAGGAAAAUAGAAUGAAAGAGUAGAUUAGGAGAAACGAGGUGAAAAUCAAGGAGUGGACAUGAACCUUAUGCAUAUUGAUGAGGUUUAGUCCAAAGAGAUCAAUAUUAGCUCCCAUGAACAUUGAUCCUAUUUAGGCUGUACAAAGUGAUUGGAAACAGGUGGAAAUAUACAAUGACCAUGAUAAUUUUGAUGAAAAGAUGGGAGUCUAAUUUGGAGAAGAUAACUGACUAGGGGAAUUUAAACUUGGAUCAAAUCAGUGAUCAGGAGAAUUCAAAUAAAGAACUGUCACCAAAUAGGAAGUUACAUGCUAUUGUAACUCUUGAUUUGAAUAUAGAGGAAUUAGCGGAACUCAACAAGGAGGGGAAGUUGAAAAUUGAAGGAAAUAAAAGUUAUCAACAGUUUGAUACUUCUCUAAAAUCAAGAUAAGGAAGGAGGAACAAAAAGCAUGAUGUCUUAGCAAAUAAAUUACCCUCAAGGGUAAUCACAAGAGGUGCUGCCACCAAAAUUAAUCAAAAACAAUGAUGAAAGCAUUUAUAUGGGACAUUAGAUAUGUUAAAAGUCAUCAAGAUUUUAAUAGAGUUCAAAUGAUUCAUAAGCAUCACAAAUUCAGUUACAUAGCUCUUUUAGAGCCUUUUCAAAGAUAUACUCAGAUGGGUAAGUACAAGAGAAGGUUAAGUAUGGAGCAGACAGGUAGAAACUACAAUGGUAAGAUCUAGUAUGUUAUAGAGGAUAAUAUUGGGGUAGAAGUGGUUACUGACUGACUAAUCGAUCACUUUGAAAUUAACAUUCCCUGACAACAUUUGUUACACUACUCUAGUCUAUGCCAAAUGAAUUAAAAGAGAAAGACUGAGUUUGUGGGAUUCUAUACACCAGCUAGCUAAUUCCAUUACUUUACCUUGGCUUGGUGGAGGAGAUUUCCAUGUGAUUAUGAAUGGAGAGGAGAAAAUUGGCGGUCUUCAUGUCCUUCCAAAUGAAUAUGAGGAGUUUGCAUUUUUAUUGAACUCUUGUGAACCCUUUGAAACUGUUUUCAAAUGAAUAUGAGGAGUUUGCAUUUUUAUUGAACUCUUGUGAACCCUUUGAAACUGUUUUCAAAGUCCCCUUCACAUGGUGGAAUGGUAGAGCUGGUCCCAACUGUACUUUUAAGAGAUUGAAUAGAAUAGUAAUAAAUCAACAAUGACAAGAUUGGUUUGAAGAUGUGGAGGUGGAGCACUUGGCCAGAAUUGGGUCUGACCAUAUGCCCCAAUGACGAUUACUAUGAAGAAAAACAAGCAACAGUUUUAUAAACCCUUCAAAUUCUUGGCUUUCUGGAUAAAAAAUGAAGGGUUCAUGGAUAUUGUGAGAACCAAUUGGAAUGUUGAAGAAGGAAAUUCCUUUUACAGGUUCAUUUAAAAAAGAGAGAAGUAUGAUUACCCUGAA